RNAcentral lists this long non-coding RNA (2592 nucleotides) under Malus domestica (apple). RNAcentral's name for it is "long non-coding RNA (MDOM_LNC013104)". Lineage: Eukaryota; Viridiplantae; Streptophyta; Magnoliopsida; Rosales; Rosaceae. The record is from RNAcentral.
UAUUCUAGUGUGACAGCCCGUCCCGGAAUUUUAAUUCCGAGGACAUGAAAAGAUGAAAAUGCCCUUAAACGGGACUAAGGGGCGAAAAUUUAACAAUUUGGAUUGAGUUGGACACGUGGGAUCCCCACAUCCCUCAAAACUUUCCCCAAUUCCCGUACCUUGUCUCUCUAUCUCUCUUCCCUCACGACUCUCUCUCACUCUCAGUUCUCUCUCUUCCUCUCCGACGCUCAACCUCACCCAAAACCACCUAAAACAUAAACAAACGUCCAAGAUAAGACCACAUUUGGACUCCUGGAACUUCCACGAUCACGUAGACAUCAAUUUCAGGUAAGUUUUGCUUCGAAAAACCCUAGUUUCAAAGUUCCCGUGAAAUGGUACUGUUCAUGAUCUUCUAAAUGACUACGUUUUAGGCUAAAAAAAGAUCACAGCGGGCUUAGUGAGGUCCCAAGGAAGCUCGGAGUGCUUCGUUGGAAGUUUUUGGACGUAAGAACACGGAGAUUGACAAGUUCAAAGUUUGGCCGGAGCUUUCGAGGAAUUUUCCGGCGAAUCCCCGGCGAGUUAGGAGUCGAGGUAGGUAUCAAUCUCUUCGUCUCGUCAAGUACUACAACUUUCCUUUUUGUUUCACUCAAUUUCGUUGAGUAUUGAAGAAGUUAUACUCAUUUGAAAAAUACCCAGUUUCCGGCGACCUCCGAGGCUUUCGAGGCAUUUUCCGGAAAAAAUACGGCUAACUAGGUGUUUUGCAAGGUACCAUUCUCUUUGUCUUUUCAAGGGCUACAACUUUCGUUUUUGAAUCACUUGAUUUCGUUGAGAAAUGACAAAGUUAUGGCAAUUUGAAAAACUGCCCAGAAAACGGCCGCCGGAAAAACCAGUCCGGCGACCCAAGGAAGAAGAAGGUGCUACAGUAAAAAUAAAAAAAUAAAAAUAAAAUUAUUUUAAAAAUAUGUCGACGUCCGUGACGUCGAGUAGAUCACUGUGGUAUAUUCAUAUACCUAAAUUGAACACCGUAUGAGAAAGUUAUUGAAGAUUGUUGGUUAGGUGUUCAAAUAACGUUUUAUAGUUUUCACAUUUAGGUGAAAAUGUGAAUUGAUGAUCCGACCGUUGGAUCGUCACCAAACUUUGAUACGUUGUAAUACGUAAUAUUUGAGGAUUAUUGGAACUUACGGAUUGGGAAUCCGAGUUACGGAUCUUCCGGAAUUGGAAUUGUAAGUCCAUAAUAUAAAAUGUUAACCGUCACUUAGUUUUGGAAAUUGACGGAGAUCCGACCGUUGGAUGGUAAUGAAAUUUUAGGAUGUUGUCCUAGAGGUAUAAUGUGAACCUCUGGAAGUUAUGGAUUUAAAAUCUGAGGGGUGGAUCUUCCGGAUCAAUCUACGUAGUGACGUAUUUUAUAUAAGUUAUAUAUUUUAUCGAUAUGAAUUCUGAGGUUGGAAUUGAUUAUUGUUUUAGGCGCCGAUCGUCAUGACGCCUUGGCGUAUUGUGCUAGGGAGUUGUAGGGCGAACUCCAGGUGAGUGGGCAGUUUUGUUUUCCGUAUAUAUAUAUACUUGACGUUUCCCAGAAAUUGAAUUGAAAUGAAAAUAUGUUUAAAAUGAAAUGCAUAUGAGUUAUGUGGAAAAACGGGAAGUGAAAUACCAUGCAUAGAAUUGAUAUGAAAAGUAUAUAGAAAUGUGAGUUGAAAUGCCAUGCAUGAAUUAAUAUAUGAUGCAUAUGUAUGAAUUGGUGCGGUGGACGCACAAGUAAGAAUUGAUUUAUGAUGCAUAUGUAUGAAAUGGUGCGGUGGACGCACAUGUGAGUAUUUAAUUACUGUUAUGAUGAUGAUGAUAUAUAUUGAGCUCAAAUCCUGCACCAUGGUUUAGUGCUUAUAGUAUUCACCGCAUCGCACGCUCGCCUUGGAUCCAAGUAGAUGCUAGUCGUACAGUCCACGCGGAGUGGGUACGACAGACCAGUCGCGAGAGUGUUAGUGAGAUUCCGACUGGUGGGUGACCUUAGAUUAUGUGCACAGAUGAUUUAUGAGAAGCACUAGAGCGUAACUUGUGUGCAGAAGGCCGGACGGGUCACAGAGGUGACUCCGGUAGAGUGAUAAUGAUAGAUUUUGAGCUCUAGGUUCAACCGUACAGGGCUAUUAGAGGGCCUCCGGUUGAUUACUUUCUUGCACCUGAUAUGAUUAUUGUUGAUGCAUCCAUACUUAACUGUUGAAUUAGACAUGGCAUGGCAUGAUUGAUAAAAAAAAAUGUUGAGUUAAUGAAUUAAAGUAUUGAGAAUAUAUAUGUAUAAUUAUAUUUUACAUUUCUGGGAAAAUAUACAGGUUUUACGGAGAGGGGUUACAACGUUUUGAAAAAUGUUUGGAUUUGGAAAAGAAUUGUUUUACUGACCCACUCAAUUUUGGUUUUGCGCCCCUCCAGGUUCAGGAAUCACAAAGGUGUGGUGACUACGAGGAAUUCGACGGUGUUCUGACAGAUUGGACAAAAUUAGGACUCACCUUCGGGUGUAUCAAUUUAAAUUGUAUCUUAAAGCUUCCGUACUGUGCAAAUGGUUACGUCACUCUCACGUGACGGCCAGCAUGCCCUCCUUCGGGACGGGGUGUGUCACUAGCGUCA